Molecule: ribosomal RNA, 492 nt
Filed under: uncultured bacterium
Lineage: Bacteria
Description: partial 16S ribosomal RNA
Rfam family: Bacterial small subunit ribosomal RNA
Source: RNAcentral
AGUGAACGCUGGCGGUAGGCCUAACACAUGCAAGUCGAGCGGAAGCACCGUAAGCGCUUGCCUUUUCAGGUGGCGACGGGCGGGUGCGUCACGCAAACAUCGGUAUCUACUUUUUCGUGGGUCAUAACGUAGGCCCACCUACCCCAAUACCGCAUACGACCCACGGGUGAGAGCAGUGGACCUUCCGACCUUGCCCGAUUGAAUGAGCCGAUGUCGGAUUAGCUAGUUGGCGGGGUAAAGACCCACCAAGGCGACGAUCCGUAGCUGGUCUGAGAGGAUGAUCAGCCACACUGGAACUGAGACACGGUCCAGACUCCUACGGGAGGCAGCAGUGGGGAAUAUUGGACAAUGGGCGCAAUCCUGAUCCAGCCAUACCGCGUGGGUGAAGAAGGUCUUCGGGUUGUAAAGCACUUUUGGUGGGAAAGAACAGCAGCAAGUUAAUACCUGGCUGUUAUGACGGUACCCACAGAAUAAGCACCGGCUAACUUCGUG